AUUGAACGCUGGCGGCAGGCCUAACACAUGCAAGUCGAGCGGAUGAAGGGAGCUUGCUCCUGGAUUCAGCGGCGGACGGGUGAGUAAUGCCUAGGAAUCUGCCUGGUAGUGGGGGAUAACGUCCGGAAACGGGCGCUAAUACCGCAUACGUCCUGAGGGAGAAAGUGGGGGAUCUUCGGACCUCAUGCUAUCAGAUGAGCCUAGGUCGGAUUAGCUAGUUGGUGGGGUAAAGGCCUACCAAGGCGACGAUCCGUAACUGGUCUGAGAGGAUGAUCAGUCACACUGGAACUGAGACACGGUCCAGACUCCUACGGGAGGCAGCAGUGGGGAAUAUUGGACAAUGGGCGAAAGCCUGAUCCAGCCAUGCCACGUGUGUGAAGAAGGUCUUCGGAUUGUAAAGCACUUUAAGUUGGGAGGAAGGGCAGUAAGUUAAUACCUUGCUGUUUUGACGUUACCAACAGAAUAAGCACCGGCUAACUUCGUG
This 484-nucleotide ribosomal RNA is filed under the name uncultured bacterium. RNAcentral describes it as "partial 16S ribosomal RNA". It matches the Rfam family "Bacterial small subunit ribosomal RNA", at positions 30 to 507 of the family's 1533-position model. The record is from RNAcentral.